This 1270-nucleotide long non-coding RNA is filed under the name Olea europaea subsp. europaea. Lineage: Eukaryota; Viridiplantae; Streptophyta; Magnoliopsida; Lamiales; Oleaceae. The record is from RNAcentral.
UUCGUUCUUGAUAACAAUGAAACACUGUAAGUUGGAUGAUUUGCUAAAUGCUGAACCAAAUUAUUCCAAAUUACAGUAACAAAAGUAAUUCUAAAAUGCAGAUUAAAUGACAAGUCCCUAAUUGUUAUCAAAUCGUCGCUUCAUUGAUAUCCGAGAUAGCCAUAACCGGCCAGCCUAGACCAUCAGUCUGGAAGAACAUAGUUAUUUUGGUCAGUUACAAAAUAUGUAUUCAAGAACAGCAUCAUAAUUAGGUUUCCUUCCCAUUCUUUUGCUUUGAAUCUGAUACCAAUGCCCUGAUGCUGAGCUGUGGUUUUGUGUCAACUAGGGCACGAAGAACAGAUACAGAUACUACUACAGACUUGCCAGGGAUCCCAGAAAUUGGCUAUAAUUCAAGAAGCACAUGAAACUGCAAGGAAUUAUGAGUUCAGUAAAAUGGAAAAUACAAAAGGGACUAUUGAUUUGCAAAACUUAUCUCCACCUCUAAGGCAAUUCAGUUCCACGAUUGAAUCUGGAACAGCAUUGUUAGGACCCUAAAGUUGCUGAGUAAUUUCCUGUGGAUUGGCUGCUGUUGCUGCUCUACUGGAAGCCCUGCGAAUCUAUUAUCCAGGAAGUAUUAGCCUAGAUCAUGAGAGUUUGCUAGAAGAUAACAGUAAUGAAAUGUAGUGAAAUAUGUAUUGUUUAUCGAUUGACAGGAAGCUUUUAACUCGCUGUAAAUGAACUGAUGACACUGAACUAAAUGAAAGACAAUUCCCAGGCUAUUCGAGAGGUCUGAUCUCUCCACUUGAUGCUUCACAAUGUCUUUUUGUCCGCUUUGCUUGUUAUUUCCCCACUUCGAUUUAUAGGCAAUUCCUUACUAUAGCUUGUGACACUUUUGACCCUCUAACAAACUAAAUGAACCUUCUGGAAUAUAGAUGACCUGGUUGCAGCUAUGGGAUUGGGGGUCUAUCAAGCAUCUUUAACUGCUGCGGCCACAAUGGUAAAGCAUUUUUUGGUGGUCUAACAUAGAUUAUGCAUCGGAAUUCGAAGAAUCUGUUUUUGUAGUUUUUAUCGUCUGUCUCCUCAAUCCCUCCUGUUAUAUCCAACUGCAAACUACAAUGUCAUUAGUUCCAUAUGGGUCUAUCCACGAUAAUAAGUCAAAAUUACCACUCAAAGUUGGGGCAGCAUAAGGAAACUAAAUACAUGGUGUUAUUGAAUAAUUUAAAAGAAUGAAUGGUAUUGAAAAACGGGUCUUUUCUUAAUCAACUAGAUGUUUCACUAAAUGUAUAUUUUG